RNAcentral lists this ribosomal RNA (937 nucleotides) under uncultured bacterium. RNAcentral describes it as "bacterial SSU rRNA". It matches the Rfam family "Bacterial small subunit ribosomal RNA", at positions 8 to 917 of the family's 1533-position model. The record is from RNAcentral.
AGAGUUUGAUCCUGGCUCAGAACGAACGCUGGCGGCGUGCCUCAUACAUGCAAGUCGAACGAGAAAGUGAUCUUCGGAUCACGAGUAAAGUGGCGAACGGGUGAGUAACGCGUGGGUAAUCUGCCCUCGAGUUGGGGAUAACAUUCCUAACGGGAUGCUAAUACCGAAUAAUACCAUUUCGUCGCAUGGCGUUAUGGUCAAAGGUGGCCUCUACUUGUAAGCUAUCGCUUGAGGAUGAGCCCGCGUUUCAUUAGCUUGUUGGUGAGGUAAUGGCUCACCAAGGCGACGAUGAAUAGCCGGCCUGAGAGGGUGUCCGGCCACACUGGGACUGAGAUACGGCCCAGACUCCUACGGGAGGCAGCAGUAGGGAAUCUUGCGCAAUGGGGGAAACCCUGACGCAGCAACGCCGCGUGGGUGAUGAAGCUCCUUGGAGCGUAAAACCCUGUCAGGAGGGAAGAGACUGUAAUUGGAGUAACACUCCAAUUACGUGACGGUACCUCCAGAGGAAGCUCCGGCCAACUCCGUGCCAGCAGCCGCGGUAACACGGGGGGAGCAAGCGUUGUUCGGAAUUACUGGGCGUAAAGGGCGUGUAGGCGGAUUCGGAAGUCAGACGUGAAAACUCACGGCUUAACCGUGAGCCUGCGUCUGAAACUCCGAAUCUUGAGUACAGAAGAGGAGAGUGGAAUUCCUGGUGUAGCGGUGAAAUGCGUAGAUAUCAGGAAGAACACCGGUGGCGAAGGCGGCUCUCUGGUCUGAUACUGACGCUGAGGCGCGAAAGCGUGGGGAGCAAACAGGAUUAGAUACCCUGGUAGUCCACGCCGUAAACGAUGGGCACUAGGUGUUGGAGGUAUCGAUCCCUCCAGUGCCGAAGCUAACGCAUUAAGUGCCCCGCCUGGGGAGUACGGUCGCAAGAUUGAAACUCAAAGGAAUUGACGGG